UAUUUAUACCUAGUUAUCAUAAAUGAUUCCAGAUAAAUAUUAUUGAAAAAGAACAGCAAAAAUUCAAUAAAAUUUUCACUUUUAAAUGCAUUACUGGCACGGGGCUGAACACUUUUUUUAGGCACAGUCAUAAAUUUGUUUACCCCCGAGAGAUCCGAAAUGAAUUGUUUAUUCAAUUGAAAAAGGCAAGAAAAAACUUACAUGUAAUAUAAAUAAAUUUUCCAGACAUAUCAUUACUUUUAAAUAUGAGAUGACAAACUAAAGGUUUUAAAAAGUCCUGAAUAACUGAAAUGGACAAAAAUACACAGAUUUAUUCAGAAUGUCAUACCGAUGAAGAUCACCUAAAAAUAUUUGGAAAAAUCAGAACUAUGGAUUUCAAUAUGGGACAAUACCCCUAAUGCGCCUUGAAAUGAGGAACACAAAAGUCAUGUGUAAACAAAAAAUCUCUGUGUAGUGAUAUUUGACACAUUUCUAUGAUAAGCAAAUAACUGAGCUGAACCAUUAGUGUUAAUUUAGAAAAUAAGGGAACACAGAAUAAAUGUGUAAAAACCAUGGAGCUAUGAAAUGUGUUCAAAGUAUUAAAAUUUCAAAGAACUUAUUGUGUUAAAAUUGGGAUUUUUUACCAUGAGGAGCGACAUCGCAAAAGGAUACUCGGGGUUUGCUAAAUUACGGAAAAAUGAAUCACACUUCGUACCCCGAAAAUUUAACCACAUAUGUAAAAAUGUCUCAGCUUCGAAACAAGCCAUCAUACAUAUACAAGUUUACGAUAUGGGCUGAGCAACAGAAGAAAACGUUACCAUUACGGCCUAUGGAAUAACAAUUGCGCAUAUUG
Mytilus trossulus (common blue mussel) is the source of this 832-nucleotide long non-coding RNA. RefSeq lists it as uncharacterized. The transcript has 3 exons. Lineage: Eukaryota; Metazoa; Mollusca; Bivalvia; Mytilida; Mytilidae. The record is from RefSeq and is a predicted model, not a curated record.